CUGAAGAUAAUAGGAUUUUGAGACUGCGUUCAUUUGGCGUGUGCUCGAUCCUUACUCUUUCAUCCACACACACCUUUGUGCACUAUGGGGACGUCAAGUCCCCCUUUUUUUCAUACCAAACACCGAGUUUACAUGCAUGUUUGUAAUUUUGGAUUUAAUA
RNAcentral lists this unclassified non-coding RNA (160 nucleotides) under uncultured Radiigera. RNAcentral describes it as "sequence contains ITS1". The record is from RNAcentral. Lineage: Eukaryota; Fungi; Basidiomycota; Agaricomycetes; Geastrales; Geastraceae.